This 814-nucleotide transfer RNA is filed under the name uncultured cyanobacterium. RNAcentral's name for it is "partial miscellaneous RNA". The stretch from base 265 to 337 matches the Rfam family "tRNA". The record is from RNAcentral. Lineage: Bacteria; Bacillati; Cyanobacteriota.
CAGGGAGACAAAAAUAGAUCUUGAUGUCUGAGUAAUUAAAUCUCAGGCCCUGAUCCUGUCACCUUAAGGUCGAUCGGUACCUCAAAUUAAUUACUUAAAUAGAUUGAUUAUUCAAUCUAUUUAAGUAAUUAAUUUCAGUUCCUAAACUUUGUCUAGGUCACAUCCCGCAAGGGUUACUCCUGGGCCAUUAGCUCAGGUGGUUAGAGCGCACCCCUGAUAAGGGUGAGGUCCCUGGUUCAAGUCCAGGAUGGCCCAUUCGGUGUUGGGGGUUUAGCUCAGUUGGUAGAGCGCCUGCUUUGCAAGCAGGAUGUCAGCGGUUCGAGUCCGCUAACCUCCACUGGUAGACCGUCUUCAACGAAAAUUGUUGAGGAGAACUUGCUUGAGAUUUGACUUAGAUUUAUUCAGCUGAAGGAACCUAGCUUCUUGUCAUUCCAGAUCUAUUAGAAAAUUAGUUUUGGUUGAAAGGAUGCUGGGCUCAAGUGAUUUUUAAUCACUGCCUAGUUCAGCAGAACCUUGAAAACUGCAUAGGUAAGUCUGGAAAGAAUAAAAGCAUCUCAUGGAUACUUUAUUAUCUUCAUAGAUCUAAGUCUUUUAAGAAAUUAUUCGACUUAAAAACUAGAAAGAUAUAGAGUUCAAAUUCUUGAGUUAAGAGCUGAGAGCUUAUAGCGUCUUUUUUUACUUAUAAUUUAAGUAUAAAGAGUUUGAUUGAUUAUUUAACUUGCUUAAUGUAACUGACUCCUUUGGGUCUCAGAUGCUUGCAAAUAAAUAAUUAAAAAUACGUUAUCAACAACGUCAAACGCUAUAAAGACUAUAU